RNAcentral lists this ribosomal RNA (464 nucleotides) under Vreelandella stevensii. RNAcentral describes it as "partial 16S ribosomal RNA". It matches the Rfam family "Bacterial small subunit ribosomal RNA", at positions 339 to 795 of the family's 1533-position model. Lineage: Bacteria; Pseudomonadati; Pseudomonadota; Gammaproteobacteria; Oceanospirillales; Halomonadaceae. The record is from RNAcentral.
CCUCGGGAGGCAGCAGUGGGGAAUAUUGGACAAUGGGGGGAACCCUGAUCCAGCCAUGCCGCGUGUGUGAAGAAGGCCCUCGGGUUGUAAAGCACUUUCAGUGAGGAAGAACGCCUGGUGGUUAAUACCCAUCAGGAAAGACAUCACUCACAGAAGAAGCACCGGCUAACUCCGUGCCAGCAGCCGCGGUAAUACGGAGGGUGCGAGCGUUAAUCGGAAUUACUGGGCGUAAAGCGCGCGUAGGUGGCUUGAUAAGCCGGUUGUGAAAGCCCCGGGCUCAACCUGGGAACGGCAUCCGGAACUGUCAAGCUAGAGUGCAGGAGAGGAAGGUAGAAUUCCCGGUGUAGCGGUGAAAUGCGUAGAGAUCGGGAGGAAUACCAGUGGCGAAGGCGGCCUUCUGGACUGACACUGACACUGAGGUGCGAAAGCGUGGGUAGCAAACAGGAUUAGAUACCCUUGUAGUC